Molecule: long non-coding RNA, 805 nt
Organism: Oncorhynchus tshawytscha (Chinook salmon)
Lineage: Eukaryota; Metazoa; Chordata; Actinopteri; Salmoniformes; Salmonidae
Source: Ensembl
CGGAAAUUCCUCACUCGUUCAUCCCGUGAUGAUUGUGUUUUCAGCCACCGUUUUCACAGACUUGAAUUAUGGGGAGUUUCAGGCACUGAAGUGAACAUAAUUGUACACUUGCAAAGCCUAUCUAAAAACGAGCGCUGAAGGGUUUACGUUGUAAACUUCCCUUGCUUGGCUAAUCAUUUGGACCGCACUCCAAGAUGGCGACAGGGAUUGCCCCAAGGGCAUAAGGCAAGGGGAUCCCAAGCCAUGGGACAUGAAGACAGAGCCCAUGUGGACCUUCAGCAUUAACUCCACACUCCCACGCAGGAUCCCAAUCUUCACCAGCUCCUGCAGAACCCGGUCAGCCAGACGGUGCAUCUCUGUCCACUUGACCUCUGAAACGCAAGACUUGUUUUGUGGACUGGAUCUAGUAUUCACUAUUAAAGGCAUAGCCCAUUUGAUUUGCUCACAAGCAUAUAUGGAUGAAGGGAGCUGACACUUGAUUUAGACAUAUUUGACAGUAUGCAUGUGUUUAAUGAGAGCCAUGAUGGUCCGUGAUGACGUCAGCAAAGCCUCAGAGUGUUUUCUCCACCCAUGUCAAACAGACAAUAAAUUGUUCCCAGCAUGCACAUCAGAAUGGAUAAAAGUUUUGAGCGGAGGCGGUUUGCCUUUCAAAGGUGCUCAUGUUGUGUCACCAUGGGCGCUCCAAACAGCCACUUUAAAUCUCCCAUCAGUAUCCCUAUGCACACAGCAGCCUGCCUCAGGUUCAAAUACAGUCAAGCUGUGCUAUGUUUAUGAAUAAACCCAUGGGAGAGCCACUCAGGGCUAC